AGCGAACGCUGGCGGCAGGCUUAACACAUGCAAGUCGAGCGGGCGUAGCAAUACGUCAGCGGCAGACGGGUGAGUAACGCGUGGGAACAUACCUUUUGGUUCGGAACAACUGAGGGAAACUUCAGCUAAUACCGGAUAAGCCCUUACGGGGAAAGAUUUAUCGCCGAAAGAUUGGCCCGCGUCUGAUUAGCUAGUUGGUGAGGUAAUGGCUCACCAAGGCGACGAUCAGUAGCUGGUCUGAGAGGAUGAUCAGCCACAUUGGGACUGAGACACGGCCCAAACUCCUACGGGAGGCAGCAGUGGGGAAUAUUGGACAAUGGGCGCAAGCCUGAUCCAGCCAUGCCGCGUGAGUGAUGAAGGCCCUAGGGUUGUAAAGCUCUUUUGUGCGGGAAGAUAAUGACGGUACCGCAAGAAUAAGCCCCGGCUAACUUCGUG
This 435-nucleotide ribosomal RNA is filed under the name uncultured Bradyrhizobium sp. RNAcentral describes it as "bacterial SSU rRNA". It matches the Rfam family "Bacterial small subunit ribosomal RNA", at positions 29 to 507 of the family's 1533-position model. The record is from RNAcentral. Lineage: Bacteria; Pseudomonadati; Pseudomonadota; Alphaproteobacteria; Hyphomicrobiales; Nitrobacteraceae.